RNAcentral lists this unclassified non-coding RNA (317 nucleotides) under Hevea brasiliensis (rubber tree). The record is from RNAcentral. Lineage: Eukaryota; Viridiplantae; Streptophyta; Magnoliopsida; Malpighiales; Euphorbiaceae.
UAAUCAAUAGCAGUUCUAGCAUGCAUAAGGUCCUGGUGCAGGCCCUCAAUCUCACCCCGCAAAAGAGGAAUCUGUUUACUAUCAGCUUGUGAUCUUGCAAGGUCUUGUUUAAGGCUCUGAAUUUGCCCAAGUAGAUCCUGCUUUACAUUAUUCAGUUUCUGAACUUCUGCACGAAGUUGUACAACCUCAUUCUUCAAAGGCUCAGUUGCACGAAGAUCAGCCUCCAGCUUCAAGCUUUUCUCAAUAAGCUCCCUCAAGUGCACUUCAUGUUCUGUAUGCAUUUCACCAAUGACAAGAUUCAUGCGAUGAAGUUCCUC